This 252-nucleotide ribosomal RNA is filed under the name uncultured bacterium. Its description in RNAcentral is "partial 16S ribosomal RNA". It matches the Rfam family "Bacterial small subunit ribosomal RNA", at positions 525 to 776 of the family's 1533-position model. The record is from RNAcentral.
ACGAAGGGGGCUAGCGUUGCUCGGAAUUACUGGGCGUAAAGGGAGCGUAGGCGGACAUUUAAGUCAGGGGUGAAAUCCCGGGGCUCAACCUCGGAAUUGCCUUUGAUACUGGGUGUCUUGAGUAUGAGAGAGGUAUGUGGAACUCCGAGUGUAGAGGUGAAAUUCGUAGAUAUUCGGAAGAACACCAGUGGCGAAGGCGACAUACUGGCUCAUUACUGACGCUGAGGCUCGAAAGCGUGGGGAGCAAACAGG